This 66-nucleotide transfer RNA is filed under the name Planctomycetota bacterium. RNAcentral describes it as "Planctomycetes bacterium tRNA-Ile". It matches the Rfam family "tRNA". From Rfam's summary of the family: Transfer RNA (tRNA) molecules are approximately 80 nucleotides in length. Their secondary structure includes four short double-helical elements and three loops (D, anti-codon, and T loops). RNAcentral also lists the same sequence under 1 other name. Lineage: Bacteria; Pseudomonadati; Planctomycetota. The record is from RNAcentral.
GCUGUGGUAGCUCUGAGCACACCGCUGAUAACGGUGAGGUCGGUGGUUCGAGUCCACUCCACGGCA